GGGACGCCUGGCCGGCCGGGCGUACGGUGGCCUUCCUGCUGGGCGGGCUGGGCUCGAUCGCGGCGGUCACGGUCACCGGCGUCGAG
This 86-nucleotide transfer RNA is filed under the name Actinoplanes sp. NBRC 103695. RNAcentral describes it as "tRNA-Ser". Lineage: Bacteria; Bacillati; Actinomycetota; Actinomycetes; Micromonosporales; Micromonosporaceae. The record is from RNAcentral.